AUAAUAAAUAAGAUUUAAAAUGACUUAAUCAAGUGAACAUGCAUUGAUGUUUUGGUAUCUUUGAUAUACAUUAUAAGAAAAUGUACCAUAAAUACUGAAAUUCAGCUCGAAAAAGUUCGUACGUGUUAUGACCUGAGAUUUGAUUCUUCAAUGCAGGUCAUGACCUGCAUUUUCAUCGUCACAGGUUGACAGGUAUGACAUA
RNAcentral lists this long non-coding RNA (202 nucleotides) under Mytilus galloprovincialis (Mediterranean mussel). Lineage: Eukaryota; Metazoa; Mollusca; Bivalvia; Mytilida; Mytilidae. The record is from RNAcentral.